AGCAUAUCAAUAAGCGGAGGAAAAGAAACUAACAAGGAUUCCCCUAGUAACUGCGAGUGAAGCGGGAAAAGCUCAAAUUUAAAAUCUGGCGGUCUUUGGCCGUCCGAGUUGUAGUCUGGAGAAGUGCUUUCCGCGCUGGACCGUGUACAAGUCUCUUGGAACAGAGCGUCAUAGAGGGUGAGAAUCCCGUCUUUGACACGGACUACCAGUGCUUUGUGAUGCGCUCUCAAAGAGUCGAGUUGUUUGGGAAUGCAGCUCAAAAUGGGUGGUGAAUUCCAUCUAAAGCUAAAUAUUGGCGAGAGACCGAUAGCGAACAAGUACCGUGAGGGAAAGAUGAAAAGCACUUUGGAAAGAGAGUUAAACAGUACGUGAAAUUGCUGAAAGGGAAACGCUUGAAGUCAGUCGCGUUGUCCGGAACUCAGCCUUGCUUUGGCUUGGUGCAUUUUCCGGGCGACGGGCCAGCAUCGAUUUUGACCGUCGGAAAAGGGCUGAGGGAAUGUGGCACCUUCGGGUGUGUUAUAGCCUUCAGUCGCAUACGGCGGUUGGGAUCGAGGAACGCAGCACGCCUUAUGGCUGGGGUUCGCCCACAUUCGUGCUUAGGAUGCUGGCAUAAUGGCUUUAAACGACCCGUCUUGAAACACGGACCAAGGAGUCUAACAUGCCUGCGAGUGUUUGGGUGGAAAACCCGAGCGCGUAAUGAAAGUGAAAGUUGAGACCUCUGUCGUGGAGGGCAUCGACGCCCGGACCUGACGUUCUCUGACGGAUCCGCGGUAGAGCAUGUAUGUUGGGACCCGAAAGAUGGUGAACUAUGCCUGAAUAGGGUGAAGCCAGAGGAAACUCUGGUGGAGGCUCGUAGCGAUUCUGACGUGCAAAUCGAUCGUCAAAUUUGGGUAUAGGGGCGAAAGACUAAUCGAACCAUCUAGUAGCUGGUUCCUGCCGA
RNAcentral lists this ribosomal RNA (940 nucleotides) under Trametes gibbosa. Its description in RNAcentral is "eukaryotic LSU rRNA". It matches the Rfam family "Eukaryotic large subunit ribosomal RNA", at positions 37 to 964 of the family's 3401-position model. The record is from RNAcentral. Lineage: Eukaryota; Fungi; Basidiomycota; Agaricomycetes; Polyporales; Polyporaceae.